Molecule: non-coding RNA, 560 nt
Organism: Plasmodium blacklocki (nom. inval.)
Lineage: Eukaryota; Apicomplexa; Aconoidasida; Haemosporida; Plasmodiidae
Source: the annotation of a GenBank genome assembly
AAAAAUAAUAAAAUAUUUUAUCUUAGUAUAACAUAAAGAAUAACAAAUAAGAUAUAUAAGGGAAUAAACGCAUAUUUUUCAUAUCUACAAAUGAAAAAUAUUACCUAUAUAUAUAUAUAUAUAUAUAUAUAUAUAUAUAUAUAUACAUAUGUGUGUGUUAAAUAAAAAACUUUGUAUAUAUUUAUGUGAGCAUUCAAUUGUAUAAUAUUAUGCUUACUCAAACUUUUUAAUUAAAAAGUGAGUUAUAAUAGAAAGAAGUAAUAAUACGUAAAAUAAUAUAUAAAUAUACAAAUAAAUAUAUAAACAUUUGUAUGUUUUACUUUUAAUAACAUGUGGUAACUAUUAUUUAAUGAUAAGAAAAAGAAAAGAAAAAAAGAAAAAGAAAAGAAAAAAUGAAAAAAUCCUCACAUGACGACACACUAUUAUCUUUAUAUAAAAUAAGGAGUUUUAUAUACACAUCCUUAAAAAUUACAAUAUAUUAAAUAUAUUUUAUGAUAUUUUUGUUUUUUUCUUUUUUUUUACUUAUAUAUAAAAGAAAUUAAUUUUUAUAAAAGGGAUAA